This 484-nucleotide ribosomal RNA is filed under the name uncultured bacterium. Its description in RNAcentral is "partial 16S ribosomal RNA". It matches the Rfam family "Bacterial small subunit ribosomal RNA", at positions 30 to 507 of the family's 1533-position model. The record is from RNAcentral.
AUUGAACGCUGGCGGCAGGCCUAACACAUGCAAGUCGAGCGGAUGAAGGGAGCUUGCUCCUGGAUUCAGCGGCGGACGGGUGAGUAAUGCCUAGGAAUCUGCCUGGUAGUGGGGGAUAACGUCCGGAAACGGGCGCUAAUACCGCAUACGUCCUGAGGGAGAAAGGGGGGGAUCUUCGGACCGCACGCUAUCAGAUGAGCCUAGGUCGGAUUCGCUAGUUGGUGGGGUAAAGGCCUACCAAGGCGACGAUCCGUAACUGGUCUGAGAGGAGGAUCAGUCACACUGGAACUGAGACACGGUCCAGACUCCUACGGGAGGCAGCAGUGGGGAAUAUUGGACAGUGGGCGGAAGCCUGAUCCAGCCAUGCCGCGUGUGUGAAGAAGGUCUUCGGAUUGGAAAGCACUUUAAGUUGGGAGGAAGGGCAGUAAGUUAAUACCUUGCUGUUUUGACGUUACCAACAGAAUAAGCACCGGCUAACUUCGUG